Molecule: long non-coding RNA, 955 nt
Organism: Salmo salar (Atlantic salmon)
Lineage: Eukaryota; Metazoa; Chordata; Actinopteri; Salmoniformes; Salmonidae
Source: RefSeq, a predicted model, not a curated record
AUGACUCCAUUUUGCUCUUACCGUCCUUUCGGCAGAAACUCAAACAGGAUGUACCCGUGACUAGAACUAUUCAACGCUGAUCUGUCCAAUCAUUUUAAGAUUGUUUUGAUCACCUGGACUGGGAAAUAUUCCAGGCAGCCUCAGAGAAUAACAUCGAUUUAUAUGCUGAUUUGCCGACUGCGAGCCAAGCCUAAUCGCCCAACCUCACUAAUGCUCUUGUGGCUGAAUGGAAGCAAGUCCCUGCAGCAAUGUUCCAACAUCUAGCGGAAAGCCUUCCCAGAAGAGUGGAUGCUGUUAUAGCAGUGAAGGGGUGACCAACUCCAUAUUAAUGCCCAUGAUUUUGGAAUCAGAUAUUCAGCAAGCAGGUUUCCACAUACUUUUGGUCAUGUAGUGUAUGUCUGAAUGCCAAGUCAUGUUCAUAUAAUCUCAGACAAAUUACUGCAGUUUAAGACCAUCCAUAGAACAUCCUAUACCAGUGAAACUGAAAAUAUGCUCUCAAAAACGUAGUUCCACUGCUGGAAGUGUAAAAAAAGAAAAGGGGAUACAUUUGCAUAUGCUAUGAUCUUGUGAAGGCUGGCUGAAUUCUGGCAAAGGAUAUGUUCUUUUUUCUCAGCACGUCUACAGAUUCUCCCUUCUCCCUGUUUUUGUUUGCUUGGAAAUGUAGAUACUAGAGACUGUUAUCAGAAGAAACUGUGUAACCUAGCAUUUAUAGUGGCUAAGAAAAGCAUGGCCAUUAAUUGGAAGGUUGGUUAUGCUCCCACAAUAUCACAAUGGAUGGAAGAAAUGUCAAGUUAUGUAUCACUAGAUUUGAUUUAUUACAAGAUUAAGAGUAUACUGUGCAACUUUCUUAAGGUCUGGGUGCGUUAUAUUGAAUAGCCUACUAUAUGACAAAAAGGGACUGUAUUGAAAAACAUUUUUUUGUCGAGCAGUCGCAAAUAAAACAUUUUGUUUCAUG